This 301-nucleotide ribosomal RNA is filed under the name uncultured bacterium. RNAcentral's name for it is "bacterial SSU rRNA". It matches the Rfam family "Bacterial small subunit ribosomal RNA", at positions 505 to 806 of the family's 1533-position model. The record is from RNAcentral.
GUGCCAGCCGCCGCGGUAAUACGGGGGGACAAGCGUUGUUCAGAUUCACUGGGCGUAAAGGGCGCGUAGGCGGGCUUUCAAGUCGGAUGUGAAACCUGUCGGCUUAACCGACAGCCUGCAUCCGAUACUGUUGGUCUUGAGUACGGAAGAGGAGAACGGAAUUCCAGGUGUAGCGGUGAAAUGCGUAGAUAUCUGGAAGAACACCAGUAGCGAAGGCGGCUCUCUGGUCCGAUACUGACGCUCAAGCGCGAAGGCUAGGGGAGCAAACAGGAUUAGAUACCCUGGUAGUCCUAGCGGUAAA